This 497-nucleotide ribosomal RNA is filed under the name uncultured bacterium. Its description in RNAcentral is "partial 16S ribosomal RNA". It matches the Rfam family "Bacterial small subunit ribosomal RNA", at positions 28 to 507 of the family's 1533-position model. The record is from RNAcentral.
GAUGAACGCUGGCGGCGUGCCUAAUACAUGCAAGUCGAGCGAACAGACGAGGAGCUUGCUCCUCUGAUGUUAGCGGCGGACGGGUGAGUAACACGUGGAUAACCUACCUAUAAGACUGGGAUAACUUCGGGAAACCGGAGCUAAUACCGGAUAACAUGUUGAACCGCAUGGUUCAACAGUGAAAGACGGUCUUGCUGUCACUUAUAGAUGGAUCCGCGCCGCAUUAGCUAGUUGGUAAGGUAACGGCUUACCAAGGCAACGAUGCGUAGCCGACCUGAGAGGGUGAUCGGCCACACUGGAACUGAGACACGGUCCAGACUCCUACGGGAGGCAGCAGUAGGGAAUCUUGCGCAAUGGGCGAAAGCCUGACGGAGCAACGCCGCGUGAGUGAAGAAGGUCUUCGGAUCGUAAAACUCUGUUAUUAGGGAAGAACAAAUGUGUAAGUAACUAUGCACGUCUUGACGGUACCUAAUCAGAAAGCCACGGCUAACUACGUG